Molecule: ribosomal RNA, 293 nt
Filed under: uncultured bacterium
Lineage: Bacteria
Description: partial 16S ribosomal RNA
Rfam family: Archaeal small subunit ribosomal RNA
Source: RNAcentral
GUGCCAGCAGCCGCGGUAAUACCGGCAGCCCAAGUGAUGGCCGCUGUUAUUGGGCCUAAAGCGUCCGUAGCUGGCCGCACGAGUCCGUCGGGAAAUCCGCCCGCUCAACGGGCGGCCGUCCGGCGGAACCUGUGUGGCUUGGGACCGGGAGGCCUGAGGGGUACGAUCGGGGUAGGAGUGAAAUCCUGUAAUCCCGCUCGGACCGCCGAUGGCGAAAGCACCUUGGAAGGACGGAUCCGACAGUGAGGGACGAAAGCUAGGGUCUCGAACCGGAUUAGAAACCCGUGUAGUCC